Molecule: ribosomal RNA, 448 nt
Filed under: uncultured bacterium
Lineage: Bacteria
Description: SSU rRNA
Rfam family: Bacterial small subunit ribosomal RNA
Source: RNAcentral
AGAGCGAACGCUGGCGGCAGGCUUAACACAUGCAAGUCGAGCGGGCGUAGCAAUACGUCAGCGGCAGACGGGUGAGUAACGCGUGGGAACGUACCUUUUGGUUCGGAACAACCCAGGGAAACUUGGGCUAAUACCGGAUAAGCCCUUACGGGGAAAGAUUUAUCGCCGAAAGAUCGGCCCGCGUCUGAUUAGCUAGUUGGUGAGGUAAUGGCUCACCAAGGCGACGAUCAGUAGCUGGUCUGAGAGGAUGAUCAGCCACAUUGGGACUGAGACACGGCCCAAACUCCUACGGGAGGCAGCAGUGGGGAAUAUUGGACAAUGGGCGCAAGCCUGAUCCAGCCAUGCCGCGUGAGUGAUGAAGGCCCUAGGGUUGUAAAGCCCUUUCGGCGGGGAAGAUAAUGACGGUACCCGCAGAAGAAGCCCCGGCUAACUUCGUGCCAGCAGCCGC